This is a non-coding RNA of Lupinus albus (white lupine), 582 nucleotides long. The record is from the annotation of a GenBank genome assembly. Lineage: Eukaryota; Viridiplantae; Streptophyta; Magnoliopsida; Fabales; Fabaceae.
UGAAAAUAGCAAAACAACUAAGGCAUAAAGCCCACUCCACAAAUCUGAAAAGGGAGAAAAGGGUUAGGUUUUAAAUUAUAAGUUUUUUAUUCUUAGGUUUUUAGGGAUUUAGGGGAGAUCGGGGAAUAUGGGUUUCACGGCUGCCACCAUUCAACCAGCUGCCGUUGGACUUGGACCGGCGACUGAGGACACCGCCGGAGCUGCUAAUGGGUGAACCGCCGCGCAAGGCUGUUCGAGACGGGCCCUGGAACAUGCGGCGGAGGCUGGCAGCGUUGGCGAGGCUGGGAGGAGAAGAACCCCGCUGUACCAUGUGAAUCGCGUCGCUGUCUGGACGCUGGUUUGGCGGAGGAGGGCGGCGCUUCCGCGAACCAGAGAUAAGUGAAGAAGGAUCCCUUCCCUUGAACUUGGUAUGAUGUUGAUUGAAUGCGGUCUAUAUUUAAGCCACAAGAGGGGUGUAUGGGCAGAAUGUGGGGGAAACUUCUUACUUAACAUAAUUGGGUGUAGUUAAGGGAGAAAAUCUGUUUUCUCCUUUAAUGACUGGAUAUGUUUUUUUAUUAUGGCCAAAACUAAAGUUUAUCGUGU